AUGCCAAAGAUCAUGCUGCUCCUGCUGCUGGUCUGCUGGACACAGGCGCAGCCGGCGGCGGAGGAGACUCCGCCUGGGGCGGGCGUGAAGGUGUCGUUCCGGCCGAGCGUGGCCAUCGUGGUGGGCAUCUUCACCAUGAUCUUCUCCCUCACCUUCCUCCUCCUCAUGUACGCCAAGUUCUGCCACCCCGCCAACACGCCCCUCCUCCCCGCCACCACCACCGCCAGCCCCUCCCGCGCGCCCGCCCCCGACGCCUUGAUCGAGUCGGAGGCCAGCGCCGGCGUGGGCAAGGCGGUCAUCGAGUCGCUGCCCUUCUUCCGGUUCGCGGCGCUGCGCGGGGCGCGGCAGGGUCUGGAGUGCGCCGUGUGCCUGGCCCGCUUCGACGACGCCGACCUGCUCCGCCUGCUCCCCCGCUGCCGCCACGCCUUCCACCUCGACUGCGUCGAUCGCUGGCUGCACUCCAGCGCCAGCUGCCCGCUCUGCCGCGCCCGCGUGCACCCCGACGACGCCGACCUCGGCCUCAAGUACGCCGCAGCCAGCGCGCGCUUUGUCUUCGGCGCAGGCGACGACGCAGCCGCCGUCGCUGCCGGCCCCGCGCCGUCGUCCGGCCGCGACCUCCUCGCCGGCAUCUUCGUCGAGCGCGUGCCGUCGGCGCGCUUCGGUGGCGAUGCUGCUGAUGACUCUAACACUAAGCUGGACCGGCACCGGCACCGCAUCGUGGUGUCGGACAGCGUGUUCAAGAGCCGGUGGAGCGACCUCAACUCGGCGGACCUCAUCGCGCUGGACACCGAGAUGCUGCGCUCCGUCUCCAGCGGGCGCUUCCCCUACCCGUAUCCCGACGACGACAUUAUCUUGGUGGGAGAGGAGCAGGAGCACGACCGAGACGAUCACGACGGCGCCCGCAUGUCCAUUGAGAUUCAGAAGAAGCGGCUGCUGGAGGUGGAGAGCGGGAGCGGCAGCAAGGGGUUGGGACUGGGAGGGUGCGGCGGGUCGGAGGCGGCGGCGUCGAGGCUGGUGUCGUCGGGCGUGCGGUCCAUGUCGGAGAUGGUGCGGCUGCCUCGGGUGGCGGUAAGGGCGACGGAGGAGGAGGAGAGGGCGCGGCAGCGGUGGGUGCCCAUCGCGCGGCGGACGGCGCGGUGGUUCGCCGCGAGGAGCAGGGAGGAGGACCGCCUCCGUGUGUAA
RNAcentral lists this ribosomal RNA (1182 nucleotides) under Triticum aestivum (bread wheat). RNAcentral's name for it is "partial small subunit ribosomal RNA". Lineage: Eukaryota; Viridiplantae; Streptophyta; Magnoliopsida; Poales; Poaceae. The record is from RNAcentral.